This 497-nucleotide ribosomal RNA is filed under the name uncultured bacterium. Its description in RNAcentral is "partial 16S ribosomal RNA". It matches the Rfam family "Bacterial small subunit ribosomal RNA", at positions 28 to 507 of the family's 1533-position model. The record is from RNAcentral.
GAUGAAUGAUGGAGGAGGGAAGAAUACAGGCAAGUCGAGCGAACAGAUGAGGAGCUUGCUCCUCUGACGUUAGCGGCGGACGGGUGAGUAACACGGGGAUAACCUACCUAUAAGACUGGGAUAACUUCGGGAAACCGGAGCUAAUACCGGAUAAUAUAUUGAACCGCAUGGUUCAAUAGUGAAAGACGGUUUUGCUGUCACUUAUAGAUGGAUCCGCGCCGCAUUAGCUAGUUGGUAAGGUAACGGCUUACCAAGGCAACGAUGCGUAGCCGACCUGAGAGGGUGAUCGGCCACACUGGAACUGAGACACGGUCCAGACUCCUACGGGAGGCAGCAGUAGGGAAUCUUCCGCAAAGGGCGAAAGCCUGACGGAGCAACGCCGCGUGAGUGAUGAAGGUCUUCGGAUCGCAAAACUCUGUUAUUAGGGAAGAACAAAUGUGUAAGUAACUAUGCACGUCUUGACGGUACCUAAUCAGAAAGCCACGGCUAACUACGUG